This 827-nucleotide ribosomal RNA is filed under the name uncultured archaeon. RNAcentral's name for it is "partial 16S ribosomal RNA". The record is from RNAcentral.
GUGCGUGUUGAGCCUGUUGGAUUCAGAUUGCGAUCUUGAGAGCGAAUUCCCAUGCGAGUAACUUAACGGUAUGUGUGAUACAGUGUAAUUAACACUAAGUCAACUUGUCACGGAGACUGGAAUGAUCACGGGUGAACAGUACCAUGGAUAUCUAAACGGGAUUGCUUCUGCAAUGUUCAUCGAUUAACAUCUAGAGGGUUCUGGGAUGGCACUGUCGCCGAUGAUGGUGUUGGAUGAGAUAAUGGGAUUUUACACCUGUACAUGGAGUAGGGCUCUGAUACUAGGACUCCGAGAUGUAUAGCUGAUACCAGCAGCCCAUGCGCUAUGGAGCGGAGAUUUGACCGAAAACUUGUAGAACCGGAUAGCGAUGCAGGAGGACUCUGAGAGAUUUCCACCACUCAGAGCGCUGGGAUUAUCUCAAAAUGUGGCACAAUACUUGGCGACCCAGUAUGCUGUCAGCCUUUUAGAGGAGACCAAAGAUCCGCGUGGCCGGGAUCUCUCUUAGGAACCCUGUCUAGCUAUCGCGUACUGCAGAGGUUUCGCGACUGCUGCGCGCUUAUACAGACGGGUGCGUGAGAUAAUAGACAUCUACGGGCUCCUACACUCAGAGGCCAUACAGUGUACAGGGGUGAAAUGCCAUUAUCCCAUCAAGACAUGAUCGCCNCAAAGUGCAAUGCCCGAGCGCUCUCGAUUUUAAUGGAUGAAACCUGCGGAAGCCACCACGAAUAGGGCUCUGGCAGGCCUUCCGAAAAUAACCCAGACCCGGGGGAAGGUUGACUAAGGUUAAUCAAAGCGGCCCGCCAAAAUGUAGUUACGCUGGUACGCCC